This 253-nucleotide ribosomal RNA is filed under the name uncultured bacterium. Its description in RNAcentral is "partial 16S ribosomal RNA". It matches the Rfam family "Bacterial small subunit ribosomal RNA", at positions 524 to 776 of the family's 1533-position model. The record is from RNAcentral.
GACGAACCGUGCGAACGUUGUUCGGAAUCACUGGGCUUAAAGGGCGCGUAGGCGGGCAGGCAAGUCAGGGGUGAAAUCCCACGGCUCAACCGUGGAAGUGCCUUUGAUACAGCACGUCUCGAGUCCGGAAGAGGUGGGUGGAAUUCCUAGUGUAGAGGUGAAAUUCGUAGAUAUUAGGAAGAACACCGGUGGCGAAGGCGGCCCACUGGUCCGGUACUGACGCUGAGGUGCGAAAGCGUGGGGAGCAAACAGG